GUGUCAGCCGCCGCGGUAAUACAGAGGUCCCAAGCGUUGUUCGGAUUCACUGGGCGUAAAGGGUGCGUAGGUGGUGAGGUAAGUCGGAUGUGAAAGCUCGGAGCUCAACUCCGAAAUGGCAUUGGAAACUACCUUGCUCGAGGGAUGGAGGGGGGACUGGAAUUCUCGGUGUAGCAGUGAAAUGCGUAGAUAUCGAGAGGAACACCAGUGGCGAAGGCGAGUCCCUGGACAUCUCCUGACACUGAGGCACGAAAGCUAGGGGAGCAAACAGGAUUAGAAACCCUAGUAGUCC
This 292-nucleotide ribosomal RNA is filed under the name uncultured bacterium. RNAcentral describes it as "partial 16S ribosomal RNA". It matches the Rfam family "Bacterial small subunit ribosomal RNA", at positions 505 to 796 of the family's 1533-position model. The record is from RNAcentral.